CAGAGGUCUCAACCGUUGUUCGGAUUCAUUGGGCGUAAAGGGUGCGUAGGCUGCGGAGUAAGUCAGGUGUGAAAUCUCGGGGCUCAACCCCGAAACUGCACUUGAUACUGCUUCGCUCGAGUACUGGAGAGGAGACUGGAAUUUACGGUGUAGCAGUGAAAUGCGUAGAUAUCGUAAGGAAGACCAGUGGCGAAGGCGAGUCUCUGGACAGUUACUGACGCUGAGGCACGAAGGCCAGGGGAGCAAACGGGAUUAGAUACCCCGGUAGUCCUGGCAGUAAACGGUGCACGUUUGGUGUGGGAGGAUUCGACCCCUUCCGUGCCGGAGCUAACGCGUUAAACGUGCCGCCUGGGAAGUACGGUCGCAAGAUUA
This 372-nucleotide ribosomal RNA is filed under the name uncultured organism. RNAcentral describes it as "bacterial SSU rRNA". It matches the Rfam family "Bacterial small subunit ribosomal RNA", at positions 526 to 896 of the family's 1533-position model. The record is from RNAcentral.